RNAcentral lists this ribosomal RNA (368 nucleotides) under uncultured organism. RNAcentral describes it as "bacterial SSU rRNA". It matches the Rfam family "Bacterial small subunit ribosomal RNA", at positions 526 to 896 of the family's 1533-position model. The record is from RNAcentral.
CGGAGGGUGCAAGCGUUAUCCGGAUUUACUGGGUUUAAAGGGUGCGUAGGUGGAUUGGGAAGUCAGUGGUGAAAUACUACAGCGCAACUGUGGAACUGCCAUUGAUACUAUCAAUCUUGAAUACAGUGGAGGCAGGCGGAAUGUGUCAUGUAGCGGUGAAAUGCUUAGAUAUGACACAGAACACCUACUGCGAAGGCAGCUUGCUACACUGUCAUUGACACUGAGGCACGAAAGCGUGGGGAUCAAACAGGAUUAGAUACCCUGGUAGUCCACGCCCUAAACGAUGUUCACUCGAUCUCGGCGAUACACAGUCGGGGUCUAUGCAAAAGCAUUAAGUGAACCACCUGGGGAGUACGAUCGCAAGAUUG